This 403-nucleotide ribosomal RNA is filed under the name uncultured bacterium. RNAcentral's name for it is "partial 16S ribosomal RNA". It matches the Rfam family "Bacterial small subunit ribosomal RNA", at positions 28 to 526 of the family's 1533-position model. The record is from RNAcentral.
GACGAACGCUGGCGGCGUGCCUAAUACAUGCAAGUCGAACGCAGUGGGGACGGGUGAGUAACACGUGGGUAACCUCCCAUCAGUGGUGAUAACACUUGGAAACAGGUGCUAAACCGAUACUGAUGGAUGAACCCGCGGUGCAGUAGCUAGUUGGUGAGGUAACGGCUCACCAAGGCCAAGAUGCAUAGCGGACCUGAGAGGAUGAUAGGACAAACUGGGACGGAGACACGGCCCAGACUCCUACGGGAGGCAGCAGUGGGGAAUCUUGGGCAAUGGACGAAAGUCUGACAGAGCAACGCCGCGUGGGUGAAGAAGGUUUUAGGGUCGUAAAGCACUGUUGUUAGGGAAGCGGUAUCUAACCAGAAAGCCACGGCUAACUACGUGCCAGCAGCCGAGGUAAUAC